This 479-nucleotide long non-coding RNA is filed under the name Dendronephthya gigantea. RNAcentral describes it as "uncharacterized LOC114527405, transcript variant X1". Lineage: Eukaryota; Metazoa; Cnidaria; Anthozoa; Malacalcyonacea; Nephtheidae. The record is from RNAcentral.
AUAAUAUUAACCAGUGAGUCCUCCACCUCAAGAAAGGCCUGCUUUGCAAGUUGUAAACCGUGAAGGUAUAUUAGUACUUUGUUCAAUAUUAUUGUUGCGGGGAGCAGGCAGAGUGUUACAUGGACAAGUGAGAGGUUACUAAAGUUUAAUUGCUAAUGGUCAUGCAGCUAACUCCAGAUUUUUGGGGCUGUUUGUUUGUUAUGUGGCCGACGAGGCCACACUAAAGUCGUGUGUCCCCAGCUUCAGGCGGCACACAAAACACCGGCCAAGCUGGUAAUGCAGUUUACAAACUGCACGUUUGAGAAGUAAAUAUUGCUUGAACUUCUCAAACGUGCAGAUUAGGCUACGUUGACAUACAGUCUAAUUGAAAUUUCCUCAUUCAAGAUCUUGCCCGUGGUUAACAUUUAAAAAAACAACGAGCUAUCAGUACAUCAAAGACGAGACAAUAUUGUUUUCAACUAGCUGCUCAGAUAUCACUG